GCGGGUGUAGCUCAACGGUAGAGUACGAGCUUCCCAUGCUCGGUGUUGCGGGUUCGAUCCCCGUCACCCGCUCCA
RNAcentral lists this transfer RNA (75 nucleotides) under Humidesulfovibrio sp. RNAcentral's name for it is "tRNA-Gly". It matches the Rfam family "tRNA". Rfam says of the family: Transfer RNA (tRNA) molecules are approximately 80 nucleotides in length. Their secondary structure includes four short double-helical elements and three loops (D, anti-codon, and T loops). Lineage: Bacteria; Pseudomonadati; Thermodesulfobacteriota; Desulfovibrionia; Desulfovibrionales; Desulfovibrionaceae. The record is from RNAcentral.